CCAAAGGUUCCUCCCGGACUUUAUGAAGGGGAUAGGGAGAGGGUGGGUGUUCUCUGCUUGUAACCACCUGGCUCCUUCUCUCUCCUAGAUGGCGCCUGUGAUGACUACACAGACGGCCGCGUGUGCAAAAUUCGCUUUGAUGCUAAUGGAGCCACAGGGUCAGGGAGUCGGGACCCCACCCAGGUGAAACUGCUGCCGGGUCGGCACAUGCUCUUCCCACCCCUUGAGAGAGUACACUAUUUACAGGUACGGGACAGAAGGACUCACCUCCAUUCUGGUCCCCUGCACCACUACUCUGUGGCUUUGGACUGCAGGGUACCCUAGGGGUCAGGUGAAGGAAAGACAAGAGGAAGAAAGGUUCCCUCAGAUCUCUCGGAACCAGGCUUGCCCACUAGAGUAAAUGCUUUGGAGAAAAGGAAGAGUGUGAAGCCAUCUUGCUGAGGCCCCGCUUUGGUUCCUGUCACCUCUACCUUUGUCUCUGCAGCACCUCCCUCCAGGUCUCACCUGCUCCUCUCCCCAGGUUCCUUUGUCCCGCCGGUUAUCCCAUGAUGAGACCAACGUCUUUUCUACUCCUCGGGCACCAGGCUCCUUCCUGCACAAGUGGUCAUCGUCUGAUGAUAUCCGGAUCCUCCCAGCCCAGAGCAGAGCCCUUGGAGGUCCUCCAGAAUACCCGGGACAGAGACUCAGGAUAGAGGAUGAGGAGGACGAGGAAGAGGCUGAAGGACCCUCUCCUCGUAGGCCUAGGCCGCUGGGCUUUUCACCUCGACGACUCUCCCUUGGGUCUCCUGAGAGCCGAGCUGUUGGACUUCCUUUGGGGUUAAGUGCAGGAAGACGCUGUUCCCUUACAGGGAGUGAAGGGAGUUCAAGGGCUUGGGGAAGACCCUGGGGGCCAGGCAACCCCAUCUUCCCCCAGUUGACCCUGUAAGGCCAUGGGUGAGUGAGUUUGCCUCAUUCUGGCCCUGAGUCUAUGGCAGCUGCCUCCAGGGAGAUGGGGGGCUACAUCUGGGCUCUAGAGCCCCAGCUCUCUCCCAUCCAAGUGACCAGAUACCCAACUCACCCGUCUUCACCCUUAGCAAAAUGUAUUAAAAGGCUGAAGUGUUGCCGUGGAAACCUUGGUGUUCAGCGACUGCGGUGGCAAAUGGGUCAGUGGCUUGGGCGAGGGAGAAUGGCUCACAGAGGACAAAAUGGAGAAAGGGCAGGAGGAAGAGAUACAGAAAGAGACAGCCCAACAUGCAGGCAGGAGAAAUGGGCUUAGGAGAGACUGAUCCUGAGGUGGAGCAUGGGGCACUUGAGUGUGUUAGUUUGAAGUGGGAAGGAUCCUUGUUCAAAUUAGUAAAGGCGCUCAAUCCUCAUCUCCCCUAAA
Molecule: long non-coding RNA, 1363 nt
Filed under: Rattus norvegicus (Norway rat)
Lineage: Eukaryota; Metazoa; Chordata; Mammalia; Rodentia; Muridae
Description: long non-coding RNA NONRATT021845
Source: RNAcentral